UUAAAAUUGAAUGGCGAAUGUCGGUAUGGUCUCUUUUUCAAAGAAGGUUUCGAUCGAGCGAAGUGACUAGACCGAACACUCGUGCUAUAAUUUUAAAA
This 98-nucleotide microRNA precursor is filed under the name Drosophila erecta. RNAcentral describes it as "microRNA der-mir-286 precursor". Its record names the gene der-mir-286. It matches the Rfam family "mir-286 microRNA precursor family". Lineage: Eukaryota; Metazoa; Arthropoda; Insecta; Diptera; Drosophilidae. The record is from miRBase by way of RNAcentral.